CUAAGGCCAUACCACCCUGAACGCGCCCAAUCUCGUCUGAUCUCGGAAGCUAAGCAGGGUCAGGGCCUGGUUACUACUUGGA
Molecule: ribosomal RNA, 82 nt
Filed under: Dipodomys ordii (Ord's kangaroo rat)
Lineage: Eukaryota; Metazoa; Chordata; Mammalia; Rodentia; Heteromyidae
Source: RNAcentral